Molecule: ribosomal RNA, 400 nt
Filed under: phytoplankton environmental sample
Lineage: Eukaryota
Description: partial small subunit ribosomal RNA
Rfam family: Eukaryotic small subunit ribosomal RNA
Source: RNAcentral
AGCUCCAUUAGCGUAUAUUAAAGUUGUUGCAGUUAAAAAGCUCGUAGUUGGAUUUCAGUACGGGCCAGUCGGUCGGCCGCAAGGCCUGCUACUGGCUGGUCUGUUCUUCUUCUCAAAGACUGCGUGUGCUCUUCGCUGAGUGUGCGUAGGAUUUGGGACGUUUACUUUGAAAAAAUUAGAGUGCUCAAAGCAAGCAAUGGCUUGAAUAGUCGUGCAUGGAAUGAUGGAAUAGGGCCUCGGUUCUAUUUUGUUGGUUUCCCGAAUUCGAGGUAAUGAUUAAUAGGGACGGACGGGGGCAUUUGUAUUGCGACGUUAGAGGUGAAAUUCUUAGAUCGUCGCAAGACAAACUACUGCGAAAGCAUUUGCCAAGAAUGUUUUCAUUAAUCAAGAACGAAAGUAG